GCGCAAGUGGUUUAGUGGUAAAAUCCAACGUUGCCAUCGUUGGGCCCCCGGUUCGAUUCCGGGCUUGCAGA
RNAcentral lists this transfer RNA (71 nucleotides) under Saccharomyces cerevisiae (brewer's yeast). It matches the Rfam family "tRNA". Rfam says of the family: Transfer RNA (tRNA) molecules are approximately 80 nucleotides in length. Their secondary structure includes four short double-helical elements and three loops (D, anti-codon, and T loops). Further hydrogen bonds mediate the characteristic L-shaped molecular structure. tRNAs have two regions of fundamental functional importance: the anti-codon, which is responsible for specific mRNA codon recognition, and the 3' end, to which the tRNAs corresponding amino acid is attached (by aminoacyl-tRNA synthetases). tRNAs cope with the degeneracy of the genetic code in two manners: having more than one tRNA (with a specific anti-codon) for a particular amino acid; and 'wobble' base-pairing, i.e. permitting non-standard base-pairing at the 3rd anti-codon position. The record is from RNAcentral. Lineage: Eukaryota; Fungi; Ascomycota; Saccharomycetes; Saccharomycetales; Saccharomycetaceae.